RNAcentral lists this ribosomal RNA (1440 nucleotides) under Lactiplantibacillus plantarum. RNAcentral's name for it is "bacterial SSU rRNA". It matches the Rfam family "Bacterial small subunit ribosomal RNA". The record is from RNAcentral. Lineage: Bacteria; Bacillati; Bacillota; Bacilli; Lactobacillales; Lactobacillaceae.
GGUAUUGAUUGGUGCUUGCAUCAUGAUUUACAUUUGAGUGAGUGGCGAACUGGUGCGUAACACGUGGGAAACCUGCCCAGAAGCGGGGGAUAACACCUGGAAACAGAUGCUAAUACCGCAUAACAACUUGGACCGCAUGGUCCGAGUUUGAAAGAUGGCUUCGGCUAUCACUCUUGGAUGGUCCCGCGGCGUAUUAGCUAGAUGGUGGGGUAACGGCUCACCAUGGCAAUGAUACGUAGCCGACCUGAGAGGGUAAUCGGCCACAUUGGGACUGAGACACGGCCCAAACUCCUACGGGAGGCAGCAGUAGGGAAUCUUCCACAAUGGACGAAAGUCUGAUGGAGCAACGCCGCGCGAGUGAAGAAGGGUUUCGGCUCGUAAAACUCUGUUGUUAAAGAAGAACAUAUCUGAGAGUAACUGUUCAGGUAUUGACGGUAUUUAACCAGAAAGCCACGGCUAACUACGUGCCAGCAGCCGCGGUAAUACGUGGUGGCAAGCGUUGUCCGGAUUUAUUGGGCGUAAAGCGAGCGCAGGCGGUUUUUUAAGUCUGAUGUGAAAGCUUCGGCUCAACCGAAGAAGUGCAUCGGAAACUGGGAAACUUGAGUGCAGAAGAGGACAGUGGAACUCCAUGUGUAGCGGUGAAAUGCGUAGAUAUAUGGAAGAACACCAGUGGCGAAGGCGGCUGUCUGGUCUGUAACUGACGCUGAGGCUCGAAAGUAUGGGUAGCAAACAGGAUUAGAUACCCUGGUAGUCCAUACCGUAAACGAUGAAUGCUAAGUGUUGGAGGGUUUCCGCCCUUCAGUGCUGCAGCUAACGCAUUAAGCAUUCCGCCUGGGGAGUACGGCCGCAAGGCUGAAACUCAAAGGAAUUGACGGGGGCCCGCACAAGCGGUGGAGCAUGUGGUUUAAUUCGAAGCUACGCGAAGAACCUUACCAGGUCUUGACAUACUAUGCAAAUCUAAGAGAUUAGACGUUCCCUUCGGGGACAUGGAUACAGGUGGUGCAUGGUUGUCGUCAGCUCGUGUCGUGAGAUGUUGGGUUAAGUCCUGCAACGAGCGCAACCCUUAUUAUCAGUUGCCAGCAUUAAGUUGGGCACUCUGGUGAGACUGCCGGUGACAAACCGGAGGAAGGUGGGGAUGACGUCAAAUCAUCAUGCCCCUUAUGACCUGGGCUACACACGUGCUACAAUGGAUGGUACAACGAGUUGCGAACUCGCGAGAGUAAGCUAAUCUCUUAAAGCCAUUCUCAGUUCGGAUUGUAGGCUGCAACUCGCCUACAUGAAGUCGGAAUCGCUAGUAAUCGCGGAUCAGCAUGCCGCGGUGAAUACGUUCCCGGGCCUUGUACACACCGCCCGUCACACCAUGAGAGUUUGUAACACCCAAAGUCGGUGGGGUAACCUUUUAGGAACCAGCCGCCUAAGGUGGGACAGAUGAUUAGGGUG